GCCGGAGUAGCUCAGUCGGUAGAGCAACUGAUUCGUAAUCAGUAGGUCGCAGGUUCGAUUCCUGUCUCCGGCACCA
This 76-nucleotide transfer RNA is filed under the name Candidatus Competibacteraceae bacterium. RNAcentral's name for it is "tRNA-Thr". It matches the Rfam family "tRNA". Rfam says of the family: Transfer RNA (tRNA) molecules are approximately 80 nucleotides in length. Their secondary structure includes four short double-helical elements and three loops (D, anti-codon, and T loops). The record is from RNAcentral. Lineage: Bacteria; Pseudomonadati; Pseudomonadota; Gammaproteobacteria; Candidatus Competibacteraceae.